RNAcentral lists this ribosomal RNA (465 nucleotides) under Vreelandella stevensii. RNAcentral describes it as "partial 16S ribosomal RNA". It matches the Rfam family "Bacterial small subunit ribosomal RNA", at positions 338 to 795 of the family's 1533-position model. The record is from RNAcentral. Lineage: Bacteria; Pseudomonadati; Pseudomonadota; Gammaproteobacteria; Oceanospirillales; Halomonadaceae.
CCUACGGGGGGCAGCAGUGGGGAAUAUUGGACAAUGGGGGGAACCCUGAUCCAGCCAUGCCGCGUGUGUGAAGAAGGCCCUCGGGUUGUAAAGCACUUUCAGUGAGGAAGAACGCCUGGUGGUUAAUACCCAUCAGGAAAGACAUCACUCACAGAAGAAGCACCGGCUAACUCCGUGCCAGCAGCCGCGGUAAUACGGAGGGUGCGAGCGUUAAUCGGAAUUACUGGGCGUAAAGCGCGCGUAGGUGGCUUGAUAAGCCGGUUGUGAAAGCCCCGGGCUCAACCUGGGAACGGCAUCCGGAACUGUCAAGCUAGAGUGCAGGAGAGGACGGUAGAAUUCCCGGUGUAGCGGUGAAAUGCGUAGAGAUCGGGAGGAAUACCAGUGGCGAAGGCGGCCUUCUGGACUGACACUGACACUGAGGUGCGAAAGCGUGGGUAGCAAACAGGAUUAGAUACCCCGGUAGUC